AGCACCGAGUAAACCCAAGGAUGGGGAAUCACCUUCCAGUAGAGGGUGUGAUUCUUAGAAGCUGUCCUUGUGUUCCAGAACUAUGCAGCUAGCGUAGGUUGAGACAUCAACUUGCCAGAUUGUGGGUGAUUCUUCAGCUUGUCUUUACCCAUGGCAUGAUACUAACACCCUUCUAACUAGGGUUACAGUUAGACCCUAAUCUAUUUAAAGAAGGGCAUGUUGGUU
RNAcentral lists this long non-coding RNA (225 nucleotides) under Capsicum annuum. RNAcentral's name for it is "long non-coding RNA (CANN_LNC012612)". Lineage: Eukaryota; Viridiplantae; Streptophyta; Magnoliopsida; Solanales; Solanaceae. The record is from RNAcentral.